GCUGGGUGUGGUGGUGCACACCUGUAAUCCCAGAGACUGAGUGAGGAGGCUGAGGCAGGAGGGCCACAAGUUUGAGGCCAGCCUCAGCAAUUUAGCAAGGCCCUAAGCAACUCAGUGAGACCCUGCCUCAA
This 131-nucleotide small RNA is filed under the name Marmota monax (woodchuck). Lineage: Eukaryota; Metazoa; Chordata; Mammalia; Rodentia; Sciuridae. The record is from RNAcentral.